Molecule: ribosomal RNA, 468 nt
Filed under: uncultured bacterium
Lineage: Bacteria
Description: partial 16S ribosomal RNA
Rfam family: Bacterial small subunit ribosomal RNA
Source: RNAcentral
GACGAACGCUGGCGGCGUGCUUAACACAUGCAAGUCGAACGGAAAGGCCCUGCUUUUGUGGGGAGCUCGAGUGGCGAACGGGUGAGUAACACGUGAGUAACCUGCCCUUGACUUUGGGAUAACUUCAGGAAACUGGGGCUAAUACCGGAUAGGAGCUCCUGCUGCAUGGUGGGGGUUGGAAAGUUUCGGCGGUUGGGGAUGGACUCGCGGCUUAUCAGCUUGUUGGUGGGGUAGUGGCUUACCAAGGCUUUGACGGGUAGCCGGCCUGAGAGGGUGACCGGCCACAUUGGGACUGAGAUACGGCCCAGACUCCUACGGGAGGCAGCAGUGGGGAAUAUUGCACAAUGGGCGGAAGCCUGAUGCGGCAACGCCGCGUGCGGGAUGACGGCCUUCGGGUUGUAAACCGCUUUCGCCUGUGACGAAGCGUGAGUGACGGUAAUGGGUAAAGAAGCACCGGCUAACUACGUG